This 164-nucleotide ribosomal RNA is filed under the name Sabal yapa. RNAcentral describes it as "5.8S ribosomal RNA". It matches the Rfam family "5.8S ribosomal RNA". Rfam says of the family: 5.8S ribosomal RNA (5.8S rRNA) is a component of the large subunit of the eukaryotic ribosome. Lineage: Eukaryota; Viridiplantae; Streptophyta; Magnoliopsida; Arecales; Arecaceae. The record is from RNAcentral.
GGUACAACUCUCAGCAAUGGAUAUCUCGGCUCUUGCAUCAAUGAAGAACAUAGCGAAAUGUGAUACCUGGUGUGAAUUGUAGAGUCCUGCGAACCAUCGAGUCUUUGAAUGCAAGUUGCGCCCGAGGCUGCCAGGCCAAGGGUACGCCUGCCUGGGCAUCAUGC